AGAAGUGUUGAGAGAUGCUCAGUUGGUAUGACCGCUAGUUACUAAAAGGUUACUAGGGUUAUGUUGGUACGACUCCUCACGACGCUCUUUUGUCUUAGGAGUCGACCACGUGUUAAUUGCUAAGACGCAUUGGGAGAGAUUAGACGUUUGCUGUGUGAUUUGGUGUUUUGUACAAGAGAGAAAAUAAAAGGUGUGAUAACCAAUCCGAGUGGAUCAGCUUGAUUAUCAACCCCAACCU
This 238-nucleotide unclassified non-coding RNA is filed under the name Bombus terrestris (buff-tailed bumblebee). RNAcentral's name for it is "misc RNA ENSBTSG00005033459.1". The record is from RNAcentral. Lineage: Eukaryota; Metazoa; Arthropoda; Insecta; Hymenoptera; Apidae.